Molecule: unclassified non-coding RNA, 844 nt
Filed under: Hevea brasiliensis (rubber tree)
Lineage: Eukaryota; Viridiplantae; Streptophyta; Magnoliopsida; Malpighiales; Euphorbiaceae
Source: RNAcentral
ACGAGCAGGUGCAUCCAUGAACUUUUAAGCAGAUGAAAAUUUGGAACAGAGAUAAAUUAAUUCCAGAUGUGAGACAUUACUGCCAUUCUUGACCAGAUAGAAACACAAACUCUAUAUCCUAUCCCAACCAGUCAAAUAAAAAGAAUAUCCAGAUCAAUUUAUGGGAAGCGAGACGCAUUGUAGUUUAUCAUGUAGAAGAAAUAAAGGUUAGACAACAUGGAAUUUCAUGUAUAAAUUGAAAAACAUCUAUAUGAAUUAAGAAGCAUCACAAACUACUAUGAAGAAAAUGAUGCCUAUGUAAAACUUGCAUGAUAAAUAGCAUAACAUAAGAACUUCAAGAACAUUUUAUUGACCAGGGAGGGACGGGAAGUGUGAGAGAGAGAGAAAGAGAUGGUUACAAAUUCUUUUUUGAAAUGAAAGCAAAAGAAUAGGUGGAGCCAAGACGAAAUCAUUUAAGUUAAAUACAAUACAAAAGCAUGACUAUCUUAAAGUUGCACCGGUGACAGUUUCAGGCAUUAUAGAUUUAAAAUUGGAUGUUACCUAAAAUUUAACUCAACUUUUUUCAUUUUUCAAAAACAGUGGUCUUUUCUCCUCAUUUUCCAUCCCAGGACCUUGCUUCAGUGGGAGUCAGGACCACAACUAGGCGAUUGCCUUUGAUGCUUAUAUUUUGGUAGAGCAAAUAUAGAAUGUGUUCUCUACAUUAAUACUGGACCUUGAAAUGUACAUUAAUAUCACAGACCUCUAAUUUAGACACUCUCAAAAGAGAAGUAUAAAAAACAAAGCUAAAAAAUAACAGAAUUAACUUGAGUCAAAGAUUUACCUUCUGAAGGUGUAGAACAACAUA